RNAcentral lists this small RNA (454 nucleotides) under Pan troglodytes (chimpanzee). Its description in RNAcentral is "retained intron". The record is from RNAcentral. Lineage: Eukaryota; Metazoa; Chordata; Mammalia; Primates; Hominidae.
AGGAUGUUGAGGGCUGAUUGAGUGAAUUCAUGGACCCGCUGUUGGUCAAAUGGUUUGACUUCUGUAAUUGGUUUAAAUGUGUCUUUCUCUGCUGCUUUAUUCCCUUAGAAAUCCUCAGCAGGUUGCGAGGGAAUAGGAGACUUUGUGGAGCUGCUGGAGGAACUGGAUUGGACCCUUCCAAGAUGACGCCUUUAGCUGAUCUCUGCUACCCCUUUCAUGGCCCGGCCCAGAUGAAAGUUGGCUGUGACAACACUGUGGUGCGCAUGGUCUCCAGUGGAAAACACGUAAAUCGUGUGACUUUUGAGUAUCGUCAGCUGGAACCGUACGAGCUGGAAAACCCAAAUGGAAACAGUAUCGGGGAAUUCUGUUUGUCUGGUCUUUGAAUGACCAACCCAGUGAUUUACAUGCUGAUAGCUAAGUGAGUUUUUAAUGGCCAUUGUGUAUGAUUUUGAUG